GCACUCUUAUUUCUCUUCAGAUCGCAUAAAUCUUUCGCCUUUUACUAAAGAUUUCCGUGGAGAGGAACAACAAGAGUUUUACUCAAUUUUUAGAUGCCUUGCUUUACGGCGAGGCU
Molecule: small nuclear RNA, 116 nt
Gene: U5
Rfam family: U5 spliceosomal RNA
About the family: U5 RNA is a component of both types of known spliceosome. The precise function of this molecule is unknown, though it is known that the 5' loop is required for splice site selection and p220 binding, and that both the 3' stem-loop and the Sm site are important for Sm protein binding and cap methylation.
Source: Ensembl